This 77-nucleotide transfer RNA is filed under the name Flavobacteriales bacterium TMED113. Its description in RNAcentral is "tRNA-Arg". It matches the Rfam family "tRNA". Rfam says of the family: Transfer RNA (tRNA) molecules are approximately 80 nucleotides in length. Lineage: Bacteria; Pseudomonadati; Bacteroidota; Flavobacteriia; Flavobacteriales. The record is from RNAcentral.
GGCCUCGUAGUUCAACUGGAUAGAAUGACAGAUUUCGGCUCUGUUGGUUGCAGGUUCGAAUCCUGCCGAGGUCACAA